AGCACGGGCGCAGAGGCGCGUGCGCGGCGGGCAGCCGUUGGCUGGAGCAGCGGAUGCGCAGGUCGCUGUGUUGUGAGGUCUACGGGCGCUGGCAAAUCGGGCCCAGGAUGUAGAGCUGGCUGUGCCUGACGGCGCGUCUGACGCGAAGUUGGGUGGGGUAGAGAGUAGGGGGCGGUAGUCGGGGGUGGUGGGAGAAGGAGGAGGCGGCGAAUCACUUAUAAAUGGCGCCCAAGCAGGACCCGAAGCCGAAAUUCCAGGAGGGUGAGUCUGUGCCCUUGGGAAAAGGCAUCUAACGGCGCAGGGGAGGGAGGCGGGCUCGGGACGGUCGAGGCUUGCGGGCCGGGCGAAGCGCGAGCCGCGCCCAGAGAAGGCGGCGGGCUUUGCUUUGUGCGGGGAAAGCGCAUUGCAGAGGGUGAGUUGUAGUGCGUCAUCUGGAAAAAAUGUUCUGUGAAGCGAAAGCAUAGCUAGGGCUUCGGAGUGGAGAGGGAGCGCUUAGUGCGUGGCAAGGCGUUCGUGCAUGUUAUUGUUCUGAGGAAGAGGGCGCGGAGAAAGCAGCCUAUUGUAGGGAGGCGACUGGGGCGCGAUGGCGGCGGUUAGGGGAAGUGAUGUGGCGGUGUGUGGGGGGGAGCGGCGCCUGUUUUGCGAGCUCGCGCCGGUUGCCUGGCCUCGUGGUCAGCAACGGCUGGCGGUCCCGGGCCGUCUGGAGUACCCUCAACCCUCCUCGGCAUGGUUGAAACGUUCGGUCUCCAUGUUGUUGUGGAGCGUGGGGGUUGGUUUGGCGCCCCGGGGCGGGAGAACUGCGUUGUAAAAUGGCCGCUGCAAGAUGGCCGCGCCAUCAUGGCCGCUGGCGUCUCGGCGCCGUGCGCCGGCGCCGCUUCAGGGCAGAUGCGGCGCCCCCUUGCACGGCGACCUCGCGCAGACCCGGUGCUAACGUUUACCUCAGUGGUGGGUGGGGAUUAAGGGGGAAAAAAAUCCCGAGGAGCGGGUAGGGCGUUUCCGUCAGUUUGGUGUUGCCCGAAGGCAUCAUUUUAGCUUACCUGAGAGCACCGCGCCUAAAUCCUACGGUAAAGUGAGUGCGCUCUUCCUGUGCGGUCGCUCGUAAAAAAAUAAUUAAAAGCGACUUCAGUGUUAAGGGCUAAGUCCCUGGUCUUAACGUGAUUUUUAAAAAAUACAGCAGUUUGACCAGUUGCAGUAAUAUUUGAUUCACAAUAAUUGGAAAGCUUAUUGAUUAUUAUUUUGGAUUUACUGACGUUAGAAUCUGACUUCCAGUGAAGAUCGCUCUUCCAGUGCUUCCAGUCCAUCUAUUUGGGUGGAGAUUUAAGAUUAAACUGAAAAGGAAGUAAAACUGUAGGCAAAGAGGAACUGCAUUUCUCUAUGGAUGUACAUGCCAGUUACCAUAAGUUCCAUGUCCAAACGCUUGCAUAAUUUUCUCAUUUAAGAUUUUUCAAAAGUUUUUGAUAUAUAUAUUUUAGUUUUUAGUUGUAGUCGGACACAACCCCUUUGUUUUAUUUAUUUAUUUUAUGUGGUGCUGGGAAUCGAACUCAGGGCCUCACACGUGCUAAGUGAGCGCUCUAUGGCUGAACCCAAGCCCAGAGUUUUCAGAUUUUUAAUGCGUUGAAAUUACUUCCACGAAUCAUAAAACCCAAACAAGUAUAUUGAAACUAUGGUGUAUUUAAGGGGUUUCAGGGGGUGUUUUCGGUGAUAGGUGGCCAUUAAUACCUGUUUCUCUCAUUUGGGUAAACUGACUUUUUAUAGAUUUCUUUAUUCUUCUAGGUGAUUCAGAACAAGGUUUUUGUUUUUGUUUCUUUGUUUUUUAAAUGGUACUUGGUUUUGAACCCAGGGCCUCACAUAUGCCAAGCAAGCACUUUACCACUAGUCAGUGGAUAUAAUGAAAAUGGAAUGUGAACUUGAAUGGGGAAAAUAGUGUGUUUAUCAUCUAGCUGAAAUUUAUUAUUUCAAUUAUCAAUUUACAUCCUCACAAAAGAAAACAGAAGUAUUAGCUGUUCGUUUUUAUGUUUCACUGUUACCUGAAAAAUAUAUGAAGCUAUUGUUUUUGGUACUGGAUAUGGAACCCAGGGGCCCUUUACCACCACUGAGUUACAUAUCCUUUAAUUUUUUUUUUUUUUUUAAGUUGCUGAGGCUGAUGUGGAACUUGGAAUCCUCCUGCCUCAUCUUCCCUAGUUGCUGGGAUUACAGGCAUGUGCUGCCACACCUGGCUUAUUAUUAAGAUGUUAUUUAUGCUCAUUGCUUCAAAAUUAUGGUAGUUAAUUGGCUUAGCAGUUAAAUCUUGUUUACUGCAUUAAAUAAGGGACUCCCUAAUAUCAGAGAAAGCAAUGUUUAAAAUAGCUUUGAAAACAGCUUCAACAGUUGUUUUCUUUUGUAAUUUGGUGUGUUUUAUGUGUUUAUUAAAAUAUUCUGAGAGGUCAUAAAGCUUCACCAGGCUAUCAGUACAAAAACUUAAUCGCAGAAUCCCUCCGGAGGGGCAGUCAAGGGUGUCCAUUUUGGAGGAAGGAAGUGCUUUAGUUCUAGCAGGAUGUUAGAGUGAGGUGGAGAAUAACAGCUAACCAGAAUCCCUGUGCUGGUUAUAGUUGUAUAAUUGGAGAAGAGUAGGAACAAAGACACCCCUGGGCAAGAUUGUGAAAGCUAUUUAAGGUUUUCUACAUUUACGGUUAUUUUCCAGGUAUGUUUUCACUUGAAUUUCGAAGCUGAGUUGUAUCACCUUUGAGAAAUUUUAAGAUGUUAAGAGAAUAUUUUGAAAAAAUAUUUAGUGCUAACAAGAUUAUCUUGAAAUGCUGUAGAAGAGUAGAAAUAAGAGUUGUCAUAAAAUGUCCCCCCCCCCCAAUUCUUUUAAUUUUUUUAUUUAUGUGGUGCUGAGGACCGAACCCAGGGCCUUUUGUAUGUAAGGCAAACAUUCUACCCUUAGCUACAACCCCAGCCCCUCUCCCCCCAAAUUCUUAUAAAUGCAGAAGUUUUUUCUUACACGGUAAAAUGUAUUUUCCAUUAGCAGUUUAAGCAGAGUGACUUUUUUGCACAGAACUUGGUCUUCUACUUGAAGUUCUGUUAAAGCAUAGGAUAGCACAGUGUCACAGGCCUGUAAUCCCAGCCACUCCCAGUGACUUUGUAGCCUGAGACAGAAGGAUGGCAAGUUGAAAGCAGGUCUGGGCACUGAAGUGAGACCCUAUCUCAAAGUGAAAGGGUUUGGGAUGUAGCUCAGUGGUAAAGCGCCCUUGGGUUCAAUCCACAGUACCCACCCCGACACCCCCCCAAUGGGAUAAAACAAAAUCGUGGGCAUCUAGUCAUUGUUUGAGGGAAGACUGACUCUGUCAGGAAAGUACCAACCAGUGGGAGAAUGGAAAACUUUGAAUUUGACAGCAUUUGGGCAGAAUUACCUUUGUAGUUUGAUAUUAGAAAACAUUUAGGGUGGAGAAAGUUUCCUAUCUGAUAACAGUGGGUUGCUGGUUCCCCAAUCUUUUUGUCCAUUGCCAAGAAAAAUAGGCUUUUUUCUUUCUUUCUUUUUAAAUCAUGGUUUAUACUCUUCAGGUAGCUGUUAUGUUUUUUCAACUAAAUAUUAUGGAUAGGUAACUAGAGAUCCAAGAGGGCCUCAGUGCAGUAGUUUUGGUAUCAGCAGUCAAGAUUUUUUUUUAAAAAGUAUGCUAUUUCAGAAUGCCUUGAAAAUAUAUCUGGAGGGCUGGGGAUGUGGCUCAAGCGGUAGCGCGCUCGCCUGGCAUUCGUGCGGCUGGGGUUCAAUCCUCAGCAUCACAUACAAACAAAGAUGUUGUGUCCGCCAAUAACUAAAAAAUAAAAAUAUUAAAAAAGAAAGAAAAUAUAUCGGAAAGUGAAACGAGAGAGAUCCAUAUAUGAUCUUUGGUGCUACUGUUUAUUAGUAGAGUAGUUUACCCAUUUUAGUUCUUGUCCUUGGGAUGUUGGAGAAGUUUUUGACUAAUCUGUAAUCACCUUAAAAUUCAAGCUGGAUAUAGGCCCAGUAGCCUCUAGCAGUAAUUCUUCAAAGAGGAAUUGCACAAAGAUUUUAUGAGAAUUUUGAUUUAAAAGUGAAAGUUAUUGCAGAGUCUAAUAAUAAGAGAUUCUGUCUCUGGUGAGGCUUGAAAUUAAAUACAUAGUUGAAGAAUACUCUAAAAGAUCUUUGAUUAAUUUUGGGAAUUCUGUAGGAUGAAAUUUAGACUUCAUAGCAUGACCUAUAUGAUGUUUCAUAUUUCAUAGUCUCUGUGACUUUCACAUGUUUAUCCUGUGCUCCAGGGGUAGUGAACUGCAAAGUAUUUCUGAUAGUGGUUAACACUUCAGUGCUUUUGUACGAGUUGUUUACACUAUCUUCCUUCUUUGUGACUCUCCCAAGUAGCUCAUUAGGCAUUCUCUCUAUUACUUAUGAAGGUAGUUACUGCAUGAAAUCCAGGAAAUUGUACAAACCUAUUUGUCUAGGUGUGAGGGUCCUUUAUUAAUCUGUCAGUGCCUUGCACAAUAGGUCGCAUACAAACCCAGAUAACUGUAUUGAGAAAUAUUAAGAUACGCUGUGGAAUUAACUAUUUCAGGUUGAAGGUAUAUCCAUAAAUCAUGUUUUUCUUUUAAAGCUAUGCUUUAAAAGCAAUACCAUGUAAUUUUAAAAUGGUGGAACCUAUAGUUAACUAGAAUUGGUCUAGUAGGUUAUUUCAGUUUUUACAGCUAAAGCAGUUUGACCCUGUUGAAUACUUUAAUUGCCUCUGGAUGUGUUGAAACCAAAUGGACAGAAAAUUGUGUGAGAUCUUUGUUACAUACCAAGUGUAAUCUGAGGCAAUUACCAGAAAUUGCCUGCAUGAUUUGUUUUAUCAUAGAGAUGAGAUGUCUCAUCCAAUAGCACUCUUGAGAUUUUGUAUGGUUUUAUUAUUCUAAUGAUGAGCUCAAUAUAUAGUGUAAGUUCUAAAGGUGAGGAUUUUUUUUUUGUCUAUUGUUUUGUUCAUUGUACAUUAUUGAACAUAUUUGAGGAAUGAACACAGAUAGCUGAUGCCUUAAAAUUCCAGCCAACUUGCAUGCACAUUGAAAUUUCAAUGUGUAGAAUAUUUUGCUAAGUAAAAGCAUAGGAAGUAGAGAUGUAGGUGGAAGUUUAAAUUCCUAAAACUUACAAAAAUACAUAAAAAAGCAUUUUAAAAAUUGGAUUCCUGGGGCUGGAGUUGUAGCUCAGUGGUUGAACGCUUGCCUAGUAUGUGUGAGGCACUGGGUUCCAUCCUCAGCAGCACAUAAAAAUAAAUAAGAUAUAUAUAACUUCAAAACAAAACCCUGGAUUUCUGGAUAAUACUGUUAGAAUAAAUUGAUCAUCCUUCUCAAUAGGUAGUGCAGUAAAUAAUUAUUUGCUUAGUGGUUGAUGAUUUAAAUAAAUUGCUAACACUAAUUGUUUUGGUUUAUUUUAUAUGCCCUGGCAUAAGCUUAUGGUGAAGUUUAAUCUGAAUUUUAUAUGCCCUGUGCUUUACCCAUUUUUCCUAAUAUUGCUAGGAUUAUAAUAAAAUGUGAUGGUUCUCAGAUUUGAAUCUAUAUAUGGAAAGGGUUUAGAAUUAAUGCAAUACUUUUCACUUUUACAGGUGAGCGAGUGCUGUGCUUUCAUGGGCC
RNAcentral lists this long non-coding RNA (5592 nucleotides) under Marmota monax (woodchuck). The record is from RNAcentral. Lineage: Eukaryota; Metazoa; Chordata; Mammalia; Rodentia; Sciuridae.